RNAcentral lists this ribosomal RNA (253 nucleotides) under uncultured bacterium. Its description in RNAcentral is "partial 16S ribosomal RNA". It matches the Rfam family "Bacterial small subunit ribosomal RNA", at positions 524 to 776 of the family's 1533-position model. The record is from RNAcentral.
GACAGAGGUCCCGAGCGUUAGGCGGAAUCACUGGGCUUAAAGCGUGUGUAGGCGGACCCCUAAGUGUCUUGUGAAAUCCCACGGCUCACCCGUGGAACCGCUGGGCAUACUGGGGGUCUUGGGCCGUUCAGGGGCGACUGGAACAAGCGGUGGAGCGGUGAAAUGCGUAGAUAUCGCUUGGAACGCCGAAGGUGAAAACAGGUCGCUGGGGACGCGCCGACGCUGAGACACGAAAGCCAGGGGAGCAAACGGG